GUGGGGAAUAUUGGACAAUGGGCGCAAGCCUGAUCCAGCAAUGCCGCGUGAGUGAUGAAGGCCUUAGGGUUGUAAAGCUCUUUUACCCGGGAUGAUAAUGACAGUACCGGGAGAAUAAGCUCCGGCUAACUCCGUGCCAGCAGCCGCGGUAAUACGGAGGGAGCUAGCGUUGUUCGGAAUUACUGGGCGUAAAGCGCGCGUAGGCGGCUAUUCAAGUCAGGGGUGAAAGCCCGGGGCUCAACCCCGGAACUGCCUUUGAAACUAGGUAGCUAGAAUCUUGGAGAGGCGAGUGGAAUUCCGAGUGUAGAGGUGAAAUUCGUAGAUAUUCGGAAGAACACCAGUGGCGAAGGCGACUCGCUGGACAAGUAUUGACGCUGAGGUGCGAAAGCGUGGGGAGCAAACAGGAUUAGAUACCCGGGUAGUCC
Molecule: ribosomal RNA, 425 nt
Filed under: uncultured bacterium
Lineage: Bacteria
Description: partial 16S ribosomal RNA
Rfam family: Bacterial small subunit ribosomal RNA
Source: RNAcentral